AUGGAUGAGGUCACAAGGGAUAUACAAGGAGAUAUCCCAUGGUGUAUGCUCUUUGCGAAUGAUGUGGUGCUAGUUGACGAUAGUCGGACGGGGGUAAAUAGGAAGUUAGAGUUAUGGAGACAAACCUUGGAAUCGAAAGGGUUUAGGCUUAGUAGAACUAAAACCGAGUACAUGAUGUGCGGUUUCAGUACUACUAGGUGUGAGGAGGAGGUUAGCCUUGAUGGCCAGGUGGUACCUCAGAAGGACACCUUUCGGUAUUUGGGGUCAAUGCUGCAGGAGGAUGGGGGAUUGAUGAAGAUGUGA
RNAcentral lists this ribosomal RNA (303 nucleotides) under Triticum aestivum (bread wheat). RNAcentral describes it as "partial small subunit ribosomal RNA". Lineage: Eukaryota; Viridiplantae; Streptophyta; Magnoliopsida; Poales; Poaceae. The record is from RNAcentral.